Molecule: transfer RNA, 72 nt
Filed under: Podarcis lilfordi (Lilford's wall lizard)
Lineage: Eukaryota; Metazoa; Chordata; Lepidosauria; Squamata; Lacertidae
Description: tRNA.Ile
Source: RNAcentral
GGAUAGCUCAGUUGGUUAGGGCAUGGUUCUGAUAAUGCCAAGGUUGCAGGUUUGAUCCCCGUAUGGGAGCCA